Molecule: ribosomal RNA, 497 nt
Filed under: uncultured bacterium
Lineage: Bacteria
Description: partial 16S ribosomal RNA
Rfam family: Bacterial small subunit ribosomal RNA
Source: RNAcentral
GAUGAACGCUGGCGGCGUGCCUAAUACAUGCAAGUCGAGCGAACAGACGAGGAGCUUGCUCCUCUGACGUUAGCGGCGGACGGGUGAGUAACACGUGGAUAACCUACCUAUAAGACUGGGAUAACUUCGGGAAACCGGAGCUAAUACCGGAUAAUAUAUUGAACCGCAUGGUUCAAUAGUGAAAGACGGUUUUGCUGUCACUUAUAGAUGGAUCCGCGCCGCAUUAGCUAGUUGGUAAGGUAACGGCUUACCAAGGCAACGAUGCGUAGCCGACCUGAGAGGGUGAUCGGCCACGCUGGAACUGAGAAACGGCCCAGACUCCUACGGGAGGCAGCAGUAGGGAAUCUUCCGCAAAGGGCGAAAGCCUGACGGAGCAACGCCGCGUGAGUGAUGAAGGUCUUCGGAUCGUAAAACUCUGUUAUUAGGGAAGAACAAAUGUGUAAGUAACUAUGCACGUCUUGACGGUACCUAAUCAGAAAGCCACGGCUAACUACGUG